Molecule: ribosomal RNA, 253 nt
Filed under: uncultured bacterium
Lineage: Bacteria
Description: partial 16S ribosomal RNA
Rfam family: Bacterial small subunit ribosomal RNA
Source: RNAcentral
UACGUAGGGAGCAAGCGUUGUCCGGAAUCAUUGGGCGUAAAGCGCACGUAGGCGGCCUCGCAAGUCUGAUGUGAAAUCCCUCGGCUCAACCGAGGACGUGCAUCGGAAACUGCGGGGCUUGAGUACUGAAGAGGAUCGCGGAAUUCCCGGUGUAGAGGUGAAAUUCGUAGAUAUCGGGAGGAACACCAGUGGCGAAGGCGGCGAUCUGGGCAGAUACUGACGCUGAGGUGCGAAAGCGUGGGGAGCAAACAGG